This 853-nucleotide ribosomal RNA is filed under the name Helminthosporiella stilbacea. Its description in RNAcentral is "eukaryotic LSU rRNA". It matches the Rfam family "Eukaryotic large subunit ribosomal RNA", at positions 67 to 937 of the family's 3401-position model. Lineage: Eukaryota; Fungi; Ascomycota; Dothideomycetes; Pleosporales; Massarinaceae. The record is from RNAcentral.
AACUGGGAUGCCCUAGUAACGGCGAGUGAAGCGGCAACAGCUCAAAUUUGAAAUCUGGCUCCUUGUAGGGGUCCGAGUUGUAAUUUGCAGAGGGUGCUUUGGUGUUAUGGUGGCGUUCUAAGUUCCUUGGAACAGGACAUCGCAGAGGGUGAGAAUCCCGUUUGUGGCCGUCGCCUUUCGCCGUGUAAAGCCCCUUCGACGAGUCGAGUUGUUUGGGAAUGCAGCUCUAAAUGGGAGGUAAAUUUCUUCUAAAGCUAAAUACCGGCCAGAGACCGAUAGCGCACAAGUAGAGUGAUCGAAAGAUGAAAAGCACUUUGGAAAGAGAGUCAAACAGCACGUGAAAUUGUUGAAAGGGAAGCGCUUGCAGCCAGACUUGCCCGCAGUUGCUCACCUAGGCUUUUGCCUGGGGCAUUCUUCUGCGGGCAGGCCAGCAUCAGUUUGGGCGGUCGGAUAAAGGCCUCUGUCACGUAUCUUCCUCCGGGAAGACCUUAUAGGGGAGGUGUCAUGCGACCAGCCUGGACUGAGGUCCGCGCAUCUGCCAGGAUGCUGGCGUAAUGGCUGUAAGCGGCCCGUCUUGAAACACGGACCAAGGAGUCUAACAUCUAUGCGAGUGUUUGGGUGUCAAGCCCGAGCGCGUAAUGAAAGUGAACGGAGGUGGGAACCCUCGGGUGCACCAUCGACCGAUCCUGAUGUCUUCGGAUGGAUUUGAGUAAGAGCAUAGCUGUUGGGACCCGAAAGAUGGUGAACUAUGCUUGAAUAGGGUGAAGCCAGAGGAAACUCUGGUGGAGGCUCGCAGCGGUUCUGACGUGCAAAUCGAUCGUCAAAUUUGGGCAUAGGGGCGAAAGACUAAUCG